AGAAUCAACGCUGGCGGCGUGCCUAACACAUGCAAGUCGAACGAGAAAGUGGAGCAAUCCAUGAGUAAAGUGGCGCACGGGUGAGUAACACGUGACUAACCUACCCUUGAGUGGGGGAUAACCUAGAGAAAUCUGGGCUAAUACCGCAUAAUACCUUCGGGUCAAAGGAGCAAUUCGCUUAAGGAGGGGGUCGCGGCCGAUUAGUUAGUUGGCGGGGUAAUGGCCCACCAAGACUGUGAUCGGUAUCCGGCCUGAGAGGGCGCACGGACACACUGGAACUGAAACACGGUCCAGACUCCUACGGGAGGCAGCAGUGGGGAAUUUUGCGCAAUGGGGGAAACCCUGACGCAGCAACGCCGCGUGGAGGAUGAAGUCCCUUGGGACGUAAACUCCUUUCGAUCGGGACGAUUAUGACGGUACCGGAAGAAGAAGCCCCGGCUAACUUCGCGCCAGCAGCCGC
This 460-nucleotide ribosomal RNA is filed under the name uncultured bacterium. Its description in RNAcentral is "SSU rRNA". It matches the Rfam family "Bacterial small subunit ribosomal RNA", at positions 26 to 518 of the family's 1533-position model. The record is from RNAcentral.